CAGAUUUUAGCUAAUAUAGAGGGCAGUUUGAUUAUAACAUACAAAUUUAAUUUGAAUGUGUUAUUAUACUAUAGAUACAUAUAAUUGGCUUCUAUGGGUUAUCUUUGUAUUGUAUAGUUGUAGGUUCCCUAUAAUUGUAUUUUUCAUUUUAUGUACAACUCAGUUUGACAGAUGACAACUGUCAUUAAUUGACUUGUAUAUAUAAACUGUCAUUAAUUGACUUGUAUAUAUAAACUGCUGUACAUAUCAUUCAGUUAGUGAUGAUGUUAUUACAAAUAAGUCCAGUUCAUUGUUAUUUCUCUUUCUUCUUUUUCUUCACUUCAUCGAAGAUGGUAUCUAGAGCAACUUUUUCAUUGAUCCAAAUUCUUCUAGCUCCGCUUCCAGUUUCUCAUGAACAUCGUUGUUGUUCAUCUAGCUCCGCUUCCACUUGUUGAGUUGAUUGGUGAUUUGUUCAAAUUAAAAUUUGUUCUUCAUUCGUGUGUUCUGUCUCAUUUUCGCUUUAGCCUAGUUUCUCUUCAACAAAUUAUUCCAAUUUUGAUUUGUGUUGAGCUUUGAUCUCUUAGUUGCGUUUCAAUGGUGAAUUGUAAUCACUCUUGGUUUCUACACUGUUCUAUCGGUAUUUGUCUUGACCUAGUUCAUCAUCGUUUCUCUAUUGUUUAAUUGUUGAAUUGCUCGUUCUUCCUUUUCCUCUUCGUGCAACUGUACUUCUUGAAUAUAGUAAAACUAGGUAUAGGAUUAAUCUCCCUCGUGUCUAAAACACACAUAGGAUAAUAUAUUUAUAAUGAAGAAUGAUACAAGUAUA
Molecule: small RNA, 802 nt
Filed under: Vigna angularis var. angularis
Lineage: Eukaryota; Viridiplantae; Streptophyta; Magnoliopsida; Fabales; Fabaceae
Description: Non-protein coding transcript
Source: RNAcentral